UUCUUUACAGUCACUAGUGAAACUUGGGAGGAAUGGCGGUGGAGAUCGACAACUGUUGAGGCGGUUAUAACCGCCUGACAGCCACAAUCACCACCACUUCUCCCUCCCCGCCGAGGUCUAUAAAACCCACAUACUCCUGCUCACUGAGGGACUCCAUUGCUUACCUUUCCUCCACCUUUCACUCCCAUCUCUGUUACUAAGGAAUCGGAUUGGGAGCGACGCCGUCGAAGUAGGAGGCUGAGGCGCCGGGGGAAGCGAUCAAGCUACCGGAAGAGCUGCUCGGCUCCUCCUCGGAGCAAGGUAAAACCUUAAACCCCUCUCCCCCUCAUGAUUUGUAUCCUGUUUAGCUUAGAUCUAAUCUAGCCAUGAGAUAAAAACAGAGGUAGAAGGAAAUAAAAUAAAAGAGAAAUGGAAGAAGAGAAGGGAGGGGGAAGACUCAACCUGUGGUGUUCGGCCGCUGAGUCGGCGUUGGCACGAUCGGCCACAGUUGUGACCAUGGCUGUUGACAGCCGAAUACCCUCCUCCUCCCGAUCAUCUCCUUCACAUUUUUAGUCUGACCCUAACCUAGCACUCCAUGAAUCCAGCCUCAAUACAUCCUUAAAUCUUCCUCUCACCCUUCCUCUCAGUAGGUGACCUCAAGCUCCAUUUCUCCCACCGAGGAAGGAGGAGAAGAGGAGAGGUCAAGGAUGAAGAGAAGAAAAAGUCCGGUGAUGGUGGUCCUAGAUCCGGUAGUCGAGAACUUUGGAGAGGGAGGAUCAGGGCGACUGAGGCCCUCCUUCCUCUCGACGGUGCCCGAGCUUCCAUCUUCCCCCACCAGAGAUGGAGGAAAGGAGCGGCCAGCCGGGCCGCGGUUGCUGCCGGUCGGACCACGGCCGCCACAGGCGCCGCUGGUUGGCCACAGGCGCUGCCGGCUUCGGGUCGACCUUCUUCCGAGCUCAACCCCCUUGCCUCAUGGGAGGAGAGGAGAAGAGGAGGAGGAGGGGAUCGGGAAGGGAAGAAGAAAGGAGAAGAAGGUUCGGAAAGGGAGGAGAAGAAAGAAAAGAAAAAGAAGAAAAGAAAAGAAAAGAAAAGAAGAAAGGAAAAUAAAAUAAAAAUUGAUGUGGGUCGAAUAGGGCCUGAUUCCGACGGUGGGAU
RNAcentral lists this long non-coding RNA (1134 nucleotides) under Phoenix dactylifera (date palm). RNAcentral describes it as "long non-coding RNA (PDAC_LNC015420)". Lineage: Eukaryota; Viridiplantae; Streptophyta; Magnoliopsida; Arecales; Arecaceae. The record is from RNAcentral.